This 365-nucleotide long non-coding RNA is filed under the name Ananas comosus (pineapple). RNAcentral's name for it is "long non-coding RNA (ACOM_LNC013939)". The record is from RNAcentral. Lineage: Eukaryota; Viridiplantae; Streptophyta; Magnoliopsida; Poales; Bromeliaceae.
AAACCUGCCUGAAUUAUGAAUUACUUUGCGUCGGCUAUAUAUAUAAUCUCUUAAAAUUUAAUUUUACGACCUAACUUUUCAAUUUGUUUGAUUUGAGUCGGUCAACGAUAUUUCAACUUUAAAAUUUAAGCUAAUUAUAGUUGCGAAAAUUAUAUGAAGUAUACUUACUAAACAUGUAAAGAUAAAUGAUACAUUCAAAUAUUAUAGACAAACUGUUAUUGACUGACUCAAAUUAAACAAAUUGAAAAAAUAAGCAGGAAUAUCAAAAGUUAAGGAAGAGUUCGAUUAUUGGCUUAAAACGGUUCAUAGUUCAGGUAAAUUCUAUAUAUUUUUAUUUCAAAAAUAUUAUGGAAGAAAACGAAGUU